RNAcentral lists this ribosomal RNA (971 nucleotides) under uncultured organism. Its description in RNAcentral is "bacterial SSU rRNA". It matches the Rfam family "Bacterial small subunit ribosomal RNA", at positions 27 to 981 of the family's 1533-position model. The record is from RNAcentral.
GAACGAACGCUGGCGGCGCGCCUCAUACAUGCAAGUCGAGCGAGAAAGCCCGCUUCGGUGGGUGAUUGAAGCGGCGAACGGGUGCGUAACACGUGGGCAACCUGCCUUUAGGUCUGGGAUAAGCCGCCGAAAGGGGGUCUAAUACCUGGAUAACACCUUUCUAUCGCAUGGUAGAAAGUUCAAAGACCGCUUGCGGUCGCCUGAAGAUGGGCCCGCGGCCUAUUAGCUAGUUGGUGAGAUAACAGCCCACCAAGGCUGCGAUGGGUAGCCGUCCUGAGAGGGUGAACGGCCACACUGGGACUGAGAUACGGCCCAGACUCCUACGGGAGGCAGCAGUAGGGAAUAUUGCGCAAUGCCCGAAAGGGUGACGCAGCGACGCCGCGUGGGUGAUGAAGCUUCUUGGAGCGUAAAGCCCUUUCAGAAGGGAAGAACCGCAUGGAGGUGAACCUCCGUGCCUGACGGUACCUUCAGAAGAAGCUCCGGCUAACUCCGUGCCAGCAGCCGCGGUAAUACGGAGGGAGCAAGCGUUGUUCGGAAUCACUGGGCGUAAAGGGCGCGUAGGCGGGCCGGUGAGUCAGGUGUGAAAACCCGGGGCUUAACCCCGGGCCUGCACUUGAUACUAUCGGUCUUGAGUACGAGAGAGGAAAGCGGAAUUCCAGGUGUAGCGGUGAAAUGCGUAGAUAUCUGGGAGAACACCGGUGGCGAAGGCGGCUUUCUGGCUCGAUACUGACGCUGAUGCGCGAAGGCUAGGGGAGCAAACAGGAUUAGAUACCCUGGUUAGUCCUAGCGGGUAAACGAUGGGGCACUAGGUGUUGGAGGACUUACCCCUUCAGUGCCGCAGCUAACGCAUUAAGUGCCCCGCCUGGGGAGUACGAUCGCAAGAUUGAAACUCAAAGGAAUUGACGGGGCCCCGCACAAGCAGUGGAGUAUGUGGUUUAAUUCGAUGCAACGCGAAGAACCUUACCUGGGCU